GUGGGGAAUAUUGGACAAUGGGCGAAAGCCUGAUCCAGCCAUGCCGCGUGUGUGAAGAAGGUCUUCGGAUUGUAAAGCACUUUAAGUUGGGAGGAAGGGCAGUAAGUUAAUACCUUGCUGUUUUGACGUUACCGACAGAAUAAGCACCGGCUAACUUCGUGCCAGCAGCCGCGGUAAUACGAAGGGUGCAAGCGUUAAUCGGAAUUACUGGGCGUAAAGCGCGCGUAGGUGGUUUUGUAAGUUGGAGGUGAAAUCCCCGGGCUCAACCUGGGAACUGCCACCAAAACUGCAUGGAUAGAGUACGGUAGAGGGUAGUGGAAUUUCCUGUGUAGCGGUGAAAUGCGUAGAUAUAGGAAGGAACACCAGUGGCGAAGGCGACUACCUGGACUGAUACUGACACUGAGGUGCGAAAGCGUGGGGAGCAAACAGGAUUAGAAACCCUUGUAGUCC
RNAcentral lists this ribosomal RNA (450 nucleotides) under uncultured bacterium. RNAcentral describes it as "partial 16S ribosomal RNA". It matches the Rfam family "Bacterial small subunit ribosomal RNA", at positions 354 to 796 of the family's 1533-position model. The record is from RNAcentral.